CGGGAUGUAGCGCAGCUGGUAGCGCGUCUGCUUUGGGAGCAGAAUGUCGCAGGUUCAAAUCCUGUCAUCCCGA
This 73-nucleotide transfer RNA is filed under the name Treponema sp. Its description in RNAcentral is "tRNA-Pro". It matches the Rfam family "tRNA". From Rfam's summary of the family: Transfer RNA (tRNA) molecules are approximately 80 nucleotides in length. Their secondary structure includes four short double-helical elements and three loops (D, anti-codon, and T loops). RNAcentral also lists the same sequence under 2 other names. The record is from RNAcentral. Lineage: Bacteria; Pseudomonadati; Spirochaetota; Spirochaetia; Treponematales; Treponemataceae.